GCAGUCGUGGCCGAGUGGUUAAGGCGAUGGACUUGAAAUCCAUUGGGGUCUCCCCGCACAGGUUCGAAUCCUGUCGGUAGCG
Molecule: transfer RNA, 82 nt
Filed under: Dermacentor silvarum
Lineage: Eukaryota; Metazoa; Arthropoda; Arachnida; Ixodida; Ixodidae
Description: transfer RNA serine (anticodon UGA)
Rfam family: tRNA
About the family: Transfer RNA (tRNA) molecules are approximately 80 nucleotides in length. Their secondary structure includes four short double-helical elements and three loops (D, anti-codon, and T loops).
Source: RNAcentral